RNAcentral lists this ribosomal RNA (467 nucleotides) under uncultured bacterium. Its description in RNAcentral is "bacterial SSU rRNA". It matches the Rfam family "Bacterial small subunit ribosomal RNA", at positions 331 to 795 of the family's 1533-position model. The record is from RNAcentral.
CCAGACUCCUACGGGAGGCAGCAGUGAGGAAUAUUGGUCAAUGGCCGGAAGGCUGAACCAGCCAAGCCGCGUGAGGGAGGAAGGCGCAGAGCGUCGCAGACCUCUUUUGCCGGGGGACAAAAGGCCGGACUCGUCCGGUCCUGAGGGUACCCGGAGAAAAAGCAUCGGCUAACUCCGUGCCAGCAGCCGCGGUAAUACGGAGGAUGCGGGCGUUAUCCGGAUUUAUUGGGUUUAAAGGGAGCGUAGGCCGGCUUUUAAGUCAGCUGUGAAAGUCCGCGGCUCAACCGUGGAAUUGCAGUUGAAACUGGAGGCCUUGAGUGCACACAGGGAUGCCGGAAUUCAUGGUGUAGCGGUGAAAUGCAUAGAUAUCACGCAGAACUCCGAUUGCGAAGGCAGCAUACCGGCGCGCAACUGACGCUCAUGCACGAAAGCGUGGGUAUCGAACAGGAUUAGAUACCCCAGUACAC